AACGCACAUUGCGCCCUCUGGUAUUCCGGGGGGCAUGCCUGUUCGAGCGUCAUUACACCACUCAAGCCUCGCUUGGUAUUGGAGGGUCUGCGGCUUUCACAAGUCUCGCACCUCUUGAAUUCUUCCGGCUGGUGUUUACUCUUACCCUUUGCGUUGUGGAAACAUUUCUCGCUUGUGGGUUGGGUGGACAUCUUUGGCCGUUAAAAAGACCAAUUUUCUAAAGGUUGACCUCGGAUCAGGUAGGGAUACCCGCUGAACUUAA
RNAcentral lists this unclassified non-coding RNA (262 nucleotides) under uncultured fungus. Its description in RNAcentral is "partial contains 5.8S ribosomal RNA, internal transcribed spacer 2, and large subunit ribosomal RNA". The stretch from base 1 to 52 matches the Rfam family "5.8S ribosomal RNA", at positions 103 to 154 of the family's 154-position model. The record is from RNAcentral. Lineage: Eukaryota; Fungi.